This 199-nucleotide long non-coding RNA is filed under the name Elaeis guineensis (African oil palm). RNAcentral describes it as "long non-coding RNA (EGUI_LNC059896)". Lineage: Eukaryota; Viridiplantae; Streptophyta; Magnoliopsida; Arecales; Arecaceae. The record is from RNAcentral.
CGAUAGACCGAACAAUACCUAAGCGAGGAAUUGAACUCAGGCCGGCGUCGUACAGAGCUUGCUCGGUGACGAGCUCUCUUUGCUUUGACACCGACACAUCCUUCAGUCGGUGAAAGUCCUCUCGGUCUCCAGCCUCUAUCUGACUGUUUUUGUUCGACUGAGUCCGAGGGUCACCCCAGCGAGAAGGAAACCCCCAAGA